This 334-nucleotide ribosomal RNA is filed under the name uncultured eukaryote. RNAcentral describes it as "partial 18S ribosomal RNA". It matches the Rfam family "Eukaryotic small subunit ribosomal RNA", at positions 1470 to 1796 of the family's 1831-position model. The record is from RNAcentral.
CCCUUAGAUGUCCGGGGCCGCACGCGCGCUACACUGAAGGAAUCAGCGUGGCUUUCUCCCUGACCCGAAAGGGUUGGGAAACCCGUUGAAUCUCCUUCGUGAUAGGGAUUGGGGCUUGAAAUUGUUCCCCAUGAACGAGGAAUUCCCAGUAAGCGCGAGUCAUAAGCUCGCGUUGAUUACGUCCCUGCCCUUUGUACACACCGCCCGUCGCUACUGCCAACUGAGAUGGGUCCUGAAUUGUUAGGAACGCCCGUCAAGGGGCCUACCCGGUCCCUAGUGCGGUGACGAGAAUAACUGUAAAUGGCAUAGCUUGUAGGGAGUAAAAGUCGUAACA